CAUUAAGUGGCUGAAAUGUAAGCAUUGGUCUCUUAAACCAAAUAAUAGUAUAAUAAUUCAUACUCUUAAUGA
Molecule: transfer RNA, 72 nt
Filed under: Chorosoma macilentum
Lineage: Eukaryota; Metazoa; Arthropoda; Insecta; Hemiptera; Rhopalidae
Also listed under: 1 other name
Description: tRNA-Lys
Rfam family: tRNA
About the family: Transfer RNA (tRNA) molecules are approximately 80 nucleotides in length. Their secondary structure includes four short double-helical elements and three loops (D, anti-codon, and T loops). Further hydrogen bonds mediate the characteristic L-shaped molecular structure. tRNAs have two regions of fundamental functional importance: the anti-codon, which is responsible for specific mRNA codon recognition, and the 3' end, to which the tRNAs corresponding amino acid is attached (by aminoacyl-tRNA synthetases). tRNAs cope with the degeneracy of the genetic code in two manners: having more than one tRNA (with a specific anti-codon) for a particular amino acid; and 'wobble' base-pairing, i.e. permitting non-standard base-pairing at the 3rd anti-codon position.
Source: RNAcentral